Molecule: long non-coding RNA, 527 nt
Filed under: Sinocyclocheilus grahami
Lineage: Eukaryota; Metazoa; Chordata; Actinopteri; Cypriniformes; Cyprinidae
Description: lncRNA (ENSSGRG00000050093.1)
Source: RNAcentral
UGCAUGUGCAUGACUGGAAUGCUUCUAUACAUGUGAACUUUACUCUGAAUGAUCUGCAUGUCAUUGCAUGGCUUCAGUAAAGACGUAAUGACUGACUGACAGGGUUUGUGUUUGGUAUGUCAGUGUGAUGGCGGUGUGAGGGAGGUUGUGGAGAGCGUUCAUGCCGUGUGUGAACAGCUGUGUGGCGUCACUACAGCAGAUCUGGAGGACGACGUCGGGCGGAUCCAGUGCUACGCUCCAGUCACACUGACUCCAGUCGAAAUGUGUGACUGUGAAACUGCUGUAGUCAUGCUCCAUCACGCUCUGCUGAAGCUGCUCCACAUUUUCUUCACAAACUUUGAUUUGGACUUCAGAGGACAGGAGGACCAUCCGAAUCCACCAGCAGCAGACGUCAAGCACAGCGGCUGCAUGCUGCAAGUCAACCUGACGUGCCUCUACAGACUGCUGCCGGGCUGGAUAAACAGGUACGACCAGAUGUUUAACACUUCUGAGAAACCCGGUCCUCAGAGCAUAGCUGUGAGUGCAGA